RNAcentral lists this ribosomal RNA (305 nucleotides) under uncultured bacterium. RNAcentral describes it as "bacterial SSU rRNA". It matches the Rfam family "Bacterial small subunit ribosomal RNA", at positions 334 to 657 of the family's 1533-position model. The record is from RNAcentral.
GUGCCUACGGGGCGCAGCAGUGGGGAAUAUUGCACAAUGGAGGAAACUCUGAUGCAGCGAUGCCGCGUGAGGGAAGAAGGUUUUCGGAUUGUAAACCUCUGUCUUAAGGGACGAUAAUGACGGUACCUUAGGAGGAAGCUCCGGCUAACUACGUGCCAGCAGCCGCGGUAAUACGUAGGGAGCGAGCGUUGUCCGGAAUUACUGGGUGUAAAGGGAGUGUAGGCGGGAAAGCAAGUCAGAUGUGAAAACCAUGGGCUCAACCUGUGGCCUGCAUUUGAAACUGUUUUUCUUGAGUACCGGAGAGG